AUGCUACCACUCUCCUACGCGCCACCGCUACCGCCGCCACAGUCGCGACCGAACCCCACCCCUAGCCACAAGCCCAAGCCCCAGCCGUGCGUGCUUCUCUUCCCUGCCGCCCUCCGAACGGCGGCCGCGGCGGCCGCCAUCUCCUUCUCCCUCCUCGCCGGCAACGCCGCGGCUGUGGCGGCGGUGGAGCAGCCCCCGGAGAUAUGCCGCGGCCAGGACGACGGGAGGGAGGUAGAGGUGAAGGCCGAGGCGGUGACGAACGAGCAGCUCGUGGAGGAGGCGUGGGAGGUGGUCAACGAGGGCUUCCUCCCCGACGCCGGCAGCCGCCCGUGGUCACCGGAGCUGUGGAUGCAACGGAAGCAAGAUAUCCUUCAAGGUUCAAUCAAAUCCCGCUCUAGAGCCCACGACAUCAUCACGAAAAUGCUAGCUAGCCUGGGUGAUCCAUAUACAAGAUUCCUGUCGUCCUCAGAUUUCUCGAAGAUGUCGAAGUAUGACAUGACGGGGAUUGGGUUGAACUUAAGAGAGAUUCCUGAUGACAAUGGUUCUUUAAGGUUGGUGGUAUUAGGAUUGAUACUAGAUGGGCCUGCUCACUCUGCUGGUGUUAGACAGGGUGAUGAGCUUUUGUCUGUCAAUGGUAUCGAUGUAAGAGGUAAAUCUGCAUUUGACGUGUCGUCCAUGCUGCAAGGCCCAAAGGAAACUUUUGUUACAAUUAAGGUUAAGCAUGACAGCUGUGGUCCUGUUGAGUCAAUGAAAGUGCAAAGGCAGAUGGCUGCUCGCACUCCAAUUUUCUAUCGUUUGGAGAAAAGAGACAAUGAGAAUUCAUCUGUCGGAUAUAUUCACAUUAAAGAAUUUAAUGCAGUGGCCAAAAAAGAUUUGGUCAGCGCACUGAAACGUCUACAAAAUUCAGGUGCCUCCUAUUUUGUUUUGGACCUGAGAGACAAUCUUGGUGGACUAGUGCAAGCUGGAAUAGAGAUUGCAAAGCUCUUCUUGAACAAAGGAGACACGGUCAUUUAUACUACUGGCCGGGAUCGUCAAGUCCAAAAUACAAUUGUUGCUGACAGUGGACCUUUGGUUACAACUCCUGUGAUGGUACUGGUGAAUAAUAGGACAGCAAGUGCCAGCGAAAUAGUCGCUUCAGCACUUCAUGACAAUUGCAAAGCUGUUCUUGUCGGUGAAAGGACUUUUGGCAAGGGCUUAAUCCAAUCAGUAUUUGAACUUCAUGAUGGUUCUGGUAUUGUCGUCACAGUUGGCAAAUAUGUCACGCCAAAUCACAAAGACAUCAAUGGAGAUGGAAUAGAACCAGACUACCGCCGUCUUCCUGAUCUCAAUGAAGCCAGAGAUUACCUUUCGCGUUGCCAAAGCAAGAAAUUAAGUUGA
Molecule: ribosomal RNA, 1377 nt
Filed under: Triticum aestivum (bread wheat)
Lineage: Eukaryota; Viridiplantae; Streptophyta; Magnoliopsida; Poales; Poaceae
Description: partial small subunit ribosomal RNA
Source: RNAcentral